GCCAGGAUGGCCGAGUGGUUAAGGCGUCAGAUUGCGAUUCUGAUACACGCAUGUGUGCGUGGGUUCAAAUCCCACUCCUGGCU
Non-coding RNA from Bolinopsis microptera, 83 nucleotides. The record is from the annotation of a RefSeq genome assembly. Lineage: Eukaryota; Metazoa; Ctenophora; Tentaculata; Lobata; Bolinopsidae.